This 505-nucleotide ribosomal RNA is filed under the name uncultured bacterium. RNAcentral's name for it is "partial 16S ribosomal RNA". It matches the Rfam family "Bacterial small subunit ribosomal RNA", at positions 28 to 507 of the family's 1533-position model. The record is from RNAcentral.
GACGAACGCUGGCGGCGUGCCUAAUACAUGCAAGUAGAACGCACAGUUUAUACCGUAGCUUGCUACACCAUAGACUGUGAGUUGCGAACGGGUGAGUAACGCGUAGGUAACCUGCCUGGUAGCGGGGGAUAACUAUUGGAAACGAUAGCUAAUACCGCAUAAUAUUAAUUAUUGCAUGAUAAUUAAUUGAAAGGUGCAAUUGCACCACUACCAGAUGGACCUGCGUUGUAUUAGCUAGUAGGUGAGGUAACGGCUCACCUAGGCGACGAUACAUAGCCGACCUGCGAGGGUGAUCGGCCACACUGGGACUGAGACACGGCCCAGACUCCUACGGGAGGCAGCAGUAGGGAAACUUCGGAAAUAGACGAAAGUCUGACCGAGCAACGCCGCGUGAGUGAAGAAGGGUGUCGGAUCGUAAAGCUCUGUUGUAAGAGAAGAACGGGUGUGAGAGUGGAAAGUUCACACUGUGACGGUAUCUGAACAGAAAGGGACGGCUAACUACGUG